CAAUUUGUCAUAAUAAAUCAUAUUGUACAGACAUUGUUGAACGGUAUGAGAAUGGAAACUAAGGAGAAAUAGUUGAAAUGUAACUUAACAUUUCGUUGAAUGGUUCGUAAUAAUAUUUCGCAACACACUUUCACAUAUGCAUUUCACUAUACAUUACUUAUAACUAACAGUUUGGCAAAUUGUUAUUUUCUGUACACGUUACAAAAUAACACAACAGCUCUGUAACUUUUAAACUGGCGUUUAAUCCUACUUCACACACAUAGUGAAUCGCAGAAUUAAAUUUACUCAAAUGUAAACAGGUUUUUCAACGAGAUUUGUAAAAAUGUUAAUAAAGUUAUGCCGUUAUUUGAAACUCAUAAGUUUCUACAAGUUCCAAAAGUUCAGUUAGAAUAGCCGUUAUGUAGAAUUUUUUAAGCGUGCCUGCUGUUGUAUUUACCUUUCAGUGAAAAAAUAAAUGAAAAAAAUGUUCCAAUAUUUAGAGUGCUCUAGAGUGCCAAAUACGUUGCUCCGCGCCAUCAGUUCCUGUCUAAAUCCUGCCGCAGCUCACAACAAUUCGGUUUUCCAUUAUCGCUCCGGUACCAUGUGCCCACGGAGACGAAAAAAUCGUCUUUCCCCGGCAAUUUAAUCGCGAAUGUGUGGUAAAUUUCCGUUUGGAGAAUUCCUCAUUCAUUUGGAAUUAUAUGUGCAGAAUCGUCGAUAGAAGGAGAGUGGAAAUGACACAGGUAGAGCCGAAUGGCCACCUCCGACGGCAGCAAUCUUAGCGACCUCGUAGUUGAACAUGAUUUCUUUUGAUGACGCGCACGAAGAUGGGGCAGCCUCCAGGAGCUUCCAUUGGCCCCGCAGGGAAAAGAUGUUCGGUGAUGCGAGUUGGAUAGAACAACGAAAAGAAAUGUUUUCACAUGACAGAACAAUGAACAGCAAUCACCUAACAAUCACUUCGUACAUUCGUGAAAUAAACUAGUUAAAAAAGGCGAUUCCAACAUUA
Molecule: long non-coding RNA, 985 nt
Organism: Aedes aegypti (yellow fever mosquito)
Lineage: Eukaryota; Metazoa; Arthropoda; Insecta; Diptera; Culicidae
Exons: 2
Source: RefSeq, a predicted model, not a curated record